GUAGUCUGCAACCCGACUGCAUGAAGCUGGAAUCGCUAGUAAUCGCAGAUCAGAAUGCUGCGGUGAAUACGUUCCCGGGUCUUGUACACACCGCCCGUCACACCAUGGGAGUUGGAAAUGCCCGAAGUCGGUGACCUAACCGAAAGGGAGGAGCCGCCGAAGGCAGGUCUGAUAACUGGGGUGAAGUCGUAACAAGGUAAC
RNAcentral lists this ribosomal RNA (201 nucleotides) under uncultured bacterium. Its description in RNAcentral is "partial 16S ribosomal RNA". It matches the Rfam family "Bacterial small subunit ribosomal RNA", at positions 1300 to 1500 of the family's 1533-position model. The record is from RNAcentral.